Molecule: non-coding RNA, 23 nt
Filed under: Mus musculus (house mouse)
Lineage: Eukaryota; Metazoa; Chordata; Mammalia; Rodentia; Muridae
Source: RNAcentral
UUCCCCGCUGAAGAUGGCCUGUG